UGGGGAAUUUUGCACAAUGGGCGCAAGCCUGAUGCAGCCAUGCCGCGUGUGUGAAGAAGGUCUUCGGAUUGUAAAGCACUUUAAGUUGGGAGGAAGGGCAUUAACCUAAUACGUUAGUGUUUUGACGUUACCGACAGAAUAAGCACCGGCUAACUCUGUGCCAGCAGCCGCGGUAAUACAGAGGGUGCAAGCGUUAAUCGGAAUUACUGGGCGUAAAGCGCGCGUAGGUGGUUUGUUAAGUUGGAUGUGAAAUCCCCGGGCUCAACCUGGGAACUGCAUUCAAAACUGACUGACUAGAGUAUGGUAGAGGGUGGUGGAAUUUCCUGUGUAGCGGUGAAAUGCGUAGAUAUAGGAAGGAACACCAGUGGCGAAGGCGACCACCUGGACUAAUACUGACACUGAGGUGCGAAAGCGUGGGGAGCAAACA
This 427-nucleotide ribosomal RNA is filed under the name uncultured bacterium. Its description in RNAcentral is "partial 16S ribosomal RNA". It matches the Rfam family "Bacterial small subunit ribosomal RNA", at positions 355 to 774 of the family's 1533-position model. The record is from RNAcentral.